This 433-nucleotide long non-coding RNA is filed under the name Homo sapiens (human). RNAcentral describes it as "PREDICTED lncRNA (TCONS_00060180)". Lineage: Eukaryota; Metazoa; Chordata; Mammalia; Primates; Hominidae. The record is from RNAcentral.
UCUCAGUCCCCGCCUCGUGUGGGGUGCCUCCCCCCCCCGCAAUGGGGGUCCUAAGAGCCAGGGGAGGAAGAGAGGCUGGCUCUCAGUCCCUGCCUCGCGGGGGGUGCCUCCCUCACCAGCAAUGGGGCUCCUAAGAGCCAGGGGGGAAGAGGGGCUGGCUCCGGUACAUUGCAAAUGACCUGCUUUUUUUCUGAUCCCGAGCUGCGUUCAGACCCCUGUCGGAUAGUAAAUCCCAAGUAAGGUACCUUCUGCUGGAAGAUCUGAGCUUUCUUCUUGGACACCUAAAACCCACAGUCCUCCAGCAGUGAAGGAUCCAGUGAGAUUUUCCAGGUUAACGGUCAUAAUCGCCUACUGGUCCAACGUUCAGAAGUAACACAGGCACCUGGACAAUACACAGUAGAUGUGGAAGGACACGGUUGUACAUUUAUCCAGG